RNAcentral lists this ribosomal RNA (425 nucleotides) under uncultured bacterium. Its description in RNAcentral is "partial 16S ribosomal RNA". It matches the Rfam family "Bacterial small subunit ribosomal RNA", at positions 354 to 796 of the family's 1533-position model. The record is from RNAcentral.
GUGGGGAAUAUUGGACAAUGGGGGCAACCCUGAUCCAGCCAUGCCGCGUGAAUGAUGAAGGCCUUCGGGUUGUAAAGUUCUUUUGGUGGGGACGAUGAUGACGGUACCCACAGAAUAAGCUCCGGCUAACUUCGUGCCAGCAGCCGCGGUAAUGCGAAGGGAGCUAGCGUUGUUCGGAAUUACUGGGCGUAAAGGGCGCGUAGGCGGUUUGACAAGUCAGAUGUGAAAGCCCUGGGCUUAACCCGGGAACUGCGUUUGAUACUGUCGUGGUUGAAGUCGGGGGAGGGGAGUGGAAUUCCCAGUGUAGAGGUGAAAUUCGUAAAUAUUGGGAAGAACACCGGUGGCGAAGGCGGCUCACUGGACCGACAUUGACGCUGAGGCGCGAAAGCGUGGGUAGCAAACAGGAUUAGAAACCCGAGUAGUCC